Long non-coding RNA from Saccostrea echinata, 326 nucleotides. RefSeq lists it as uncharacterized. The record is from RefSeq and is a predicted model, not a curated record. The transcript is spliced from 3 exons. Lineage: Eukaryota; Metazoa; Mollusca; Bivalvia; Ostreida; Ostreidae.
ACAACAGGCCAGGAAUUAGUCACAUUGAGAGGAUGUUGAGAAUUCUGUGCAUGUUACUGAUGGCCCUGUACCUCAUUUCGUGCGUCUCCGCUUACGUCAUCUACCGAGUCCCGGUCCCUGUCUAUAGGAGACCUGUAUAUAGGACAUUUUAUCAUCCAGACAUUGAUGAUGAUAAUAUCGUCUUCCUUCACGGUUAAAAAAACACAAGAAGUUGUACAGAAUGGAAUGAUGCAUGAACUCUGCGGUGUGGCAACGGUUCAUCUGUGUAUUGCGCAAUAAUUGUUAUUAAAUUAUUUUGUCUUUUUUGAUAUCGUAUUUUUGUCAAU